RNAcentral lists this ribosomal RNA (484 nucleotides) under uncultured bacterium. RNAcentral's name for it is "partial 16S ribosomal RNA". It matches the Rfam family "Bacterial small subunit ribosomal RNA", at positions 29 to 507 of the family's 1533-position model. The record is from RNAcentral.
AUUGAACGCUGGCGGCAUGCUUUACACAUGCAAGUCGAACGGCAGCGCGGGCUUCGGCCUGGCGGCGAGUGGCGAACGGGUGAGUAAUACAUCGGAACGUGCCCAGUAGUGGGGGAUAGCUCGGCGAAAGCCGGAUUAAUACCGCAUACGACCUGAGGGUGAAAGCGGGGGAUCUUCGGACCUCGCGCUAUUGGAGCGGCCGAUGGCAGAUUAGCUAGUUGGUGGGGUAAGGGCCUACCAAGGCGACGAUCUGUAGCUGGUCUGAGAGGACGACCAGCCACACUGGGACUGAGACACGGCCCAGACUCCUACGGGAGGCAGCAGUGGGGAAUUUUGGACAAUGGGCGAAAGCCUGAUCCAGCAAUGCCGCGUGUGUGAUGAAGGCCUUCGGGUUGUAAAGCACUUUUGGCGGGAACGAAAAGGACUGUGCCAAUACCACGGUUCGAUGACGGUACCCGUAGAAUAAGCACCGGCUAACUACGUG